GGAAGACGAAGUAGGAUGCAUGCCGUGGUCCGGUUAGAUGUUAGACUUAAAAAGAAUGGUUAACUGCUGCCUGUGCAAAGAAGAGGCAUGUUAUUUAUUCCAGUAACAUGUUAUUUAUUCCAGUAACUUUACAAUUUGCUGCAAAAUUAAGGCCUUUUUGCAAAUUUCAUCCAUGAUCGGUUCAUAACGAACUUAGUUUUUUUAAGACAUUCUAUAGUAUAUUUUCUAGUUUUUAUAAACAUCUUUUCCAUUUUGUUUGAUUAUUUUCUGAAACAUAUAUUUAUAAUAUUCGCAAGCCAGAAUAAAUUAGAAUGUACGUGUA
Molecule: small RNA, 322 nt
Filed under: Atta cephalotes
Lineage: Eukaryota; Metazoa; Arthropoda; Insecta; Hymenoptera; Formicidae
Description: sRNA LOC105622928
Source: RNAcentral